This 28-nucleotide non-coding RNA is filed under the name Bombyx mori (domestic silkworm). The record is from RNAcentral. Lineage: Eukaryota; Metazoa; Arthropoda; Insecta; Lepidoptera; Bombycidae.
UAAGAUGAAUUAGGUCAAUCGUGUGAUU